RNAcentral lists this ribosomal RNA (253 nucleotides) under uncultured bacterium. RNAcentral's name for it is "partial 16S ribosomal RNA". It matches the Rfam family "Bacterial small subunit ribosomal RNA", at positions 524 to 776 of the family's 1533-position model. The record is from RNAcentral.
UACGUAGGGGGCUAGCGUUGCUCGGAAUCACUGGGCGUAAAGCGCACGUAGGCGGCUUUUUAAGUCAGGGGUGAGAUCCUGGAGCUCAACUCCAGAACUGCCUUUGAUACUGAGAGGCUCGAGUCCGGGAGAGGUGAGUGGAACUGCGAGUGUAGAGGUGAAAUUCGUAGAUAUUCGCAAGAACACCAGUGGCGAAGGCGGCUCACUGGCCCGGUACUGACGCUGAGGUGCGAAAGCGUGGGGAGCAAACAGG